RNAcentral lists this ribosomal RNA (484 nucleotides) under uncultured bacterium. Its description in RNAcentral is "partial 16S ribosomal RNA". It matches the Rfam family "Bacterial small subunit ribosomal RNA", at positions 30 to 507 of the family's 1533-position model. The record is from RNAcentral.
AUUGAACGCUGGCGGCAUGCUUUACACAUGCAAGUCGAACGGCAGCGCGGGCUUCGUCCUGGCGGCGAGUGGCGAACGGGUGAGUAAUACAUCGGAACGUGCCCAGUCUUGGGGGAUAGCUCGGCGAAAGCCGGAUUAAUACCGCAUACGACCUGAGGGUGAAAGCGGGGGAUCUUCGGACCUCGCGCUAUUUGAGCGCCCGAUGGCAGAUUAGCUAGUUGGUGGGGUAAAGGCCUACCAAGGCGACGAUCUGUAGCUGGUCUGAGAGGACGACCAGCCACACUGGGACUGAGACACGGCCCAGACUCCUACGGGAGGCAGCAGUGGGGAAUUUUGGACAAUGGGCGAAAGCCUGAUCCAGCAAUGCCGCGUGUGUGAUGAAGGCCUUCGGGUUGUAAAGCACUUUUGGCGGGAACGAAAAGGACUGUGCCAAUACCACGGUUCGAUGACGGUACCCGCAGAAUAAGCACCGGCUAACUACGUG